GGAUACGCUGGUGGUAGGUAGGACACAUCUAUAGGAUACGCUGGUGGUAGGUAGGACACAUCUAUAGGAUACGCUGGAGGUAGGUAGGACACAUCUAUAGGAUACGCUGGUGGUAGGUAGGACACAUCUAUAGGAUACGCUGGUGGUAGGUAGGACACAUCUAUAGGAUACGCUGGUGGUAGGUAGGACACAUCUAUAGGAUACGCUGGUGGUAGGUAGGACACAUCUAUAGGAUACGCUGGUGGUAGGUAGGACACAUCUAUAGGAUACGCUGGUGGUAGGUAGGACACAUCUAUAGGAUACGCUGGUGGUAGGUAGGACACAUCUAUAGGAUACGCUGGUGGUAGGUAGGACACAUCUAUAGGAUACGCUGGUGGUAGGUAGGACACAUCUAUAGGAUACGCUGGUGGUAGGUAGGACACAUCUAUAGGAUACGCUGGUGGUAGGUAGGACACAUCUAUAGGAUACGCUGGUGGUAGGUAGGACAC
This is a long non-coding RNA of Oncorhynchus keta (chum salmon), 488 nucleotides long. RefSeq lists it as uncharacterized. Lineage: Eukaryota; Metazoa; Chordata; Actinopteri; Salmoniformes; Salmonidae. The transcript has 5 exons. The record is from RefSeq and is a predicted model, not a curated record.